GCCUGGCUAGCUCAAUCGGUAGAGCGUCAGACUCUUAGAUCUAAGUUCAUCUGAAGGCCGUGGGUUCGACCCCCACGUCGGGCU
Massariosphaeria phaeospora is the source of this 84-nucleotide non-coding RNA. The record is from the annotation of a GenBank genome assembly. NCBI's taxonomy places the organism in Eukaryota, Fungi, Ascomycota, Dothideomycetes, Pleosporales.